Molecule: transfer RNA, 72 nt
Filed under: Dipodomys ordii (Ord's kangaroo rat)
Lineage: Eukaryota; Metazoa; Chordata; Mammalia; Rodentia; Heteromyidae
Rfam family: tRNA
About the family: Transfer RNA (tRNA) molecules are approximately 80 nucleotides in length.
Source: Rfam by way of RNAcentral
GGGAAGGUGGCUCAGUGGUAGAGUGCUUGCCUUGCAUGCAUGAGGCCUUGGGUUAGACUCCUCAGCAUCAUA